GUUGCCUGAAAAACAGCGCUGAGGUAGUGUAUCCACGUACACUACUACAGCAUUAUGCUGAGGCGAUUCCCUUUUUGGGACAGUUUGGCGCCACAGACACGCAUUCUGGGUUAUGUCAGAGAUUU
Maniola jurtina (meadow brown) is the source of this 125-nucleotide long non-coding RNA. RefSeq lists it as uncharacterized. The record is from RefSeq and is a predicted model, not a curated record. Lineage: Eukaryota; Metazoa; Arthropoda; Insecta; Lepidoptera; Nymphalidae. The transcript has 3 exons.